Molecule: ribosomal RNA, 433 nt
Filed under: uncultured Oscillospiraceae bacterium
Lineage: Bacteria; Bacillati; Bacillota; Clostridia; Eubacteriales; Oscillospiraceae
Description: partial 16S ribosomal RNA
Rfam family: Bacterial small subunit ribosomal RNA
Source: RNAcentral
ACGGAAGGCAGCAGUGGGGAAUAUUGGGCAAUGGGGGAAACCCUGACCCAGCAACGCCGCGUGAAGGAAGAAGGCCUUCGGGUUGUAAACUUCUUUUACCAGGGACGAUAAUGACGGUACCUGGAGAAAAAGCAACGGCUAACUACGUGCCAGCAGCCGCGGUAAUACGUAGGUUGCAAGCGUUGUCCGGAUUUACUGGGUGUAAGGGCGUGUGGGCGGAGCUGCAAGUCAGAUGUGAAAUCCCGGGGCUCAACCCCGGAACUGCAUUUGAAACUGUAGCCCUUGAGUAUCGGAGAGGCAAGCGGAAUUCCUAGUGUAGCGGUGAAAUGCGUAGAUAUUAGGAGGAACACCAGUGGCGAAGGCGGCUUGCUGGACGACAACUGACGCUGAGGCGCGAAAGCGUGGGGAGCAAACAGGAUUAGAUACCCUGGUA